RNAcentral lists this unclassified non-coding RNA (507 nucleotides) under uncultured Entrophospora. Its description in RNAcentral is "SSU rRNA". It matches the Rfam family "Eukaryotic small subunit ribosomal RNA", at positions 591 to 1092 of the family's 1831-position model. The record is from RNAcentral. Lineage: Eukaryota; Fungi; Glomeromycota; Glomeromycetes; Entrophosporales; Entrophosporaceae.
CCAAUAGCGUAUAUUAAAGUUGUUGCAGUUAAAAAGCUCGUAGUUGAAUUUCGGGAUUGACGUGACGGUCAUGCCUUAAGGGGUAUGAACUGUUGCUGUUGAUUUCUCACCUUCUGGAGAAACUUGAUGUCCUUUAUUGGGUGUCUUGCGGAUCCAGGACCUUUACCUUGAAAAAAUUAGAGUGUUUAAAGCAGGCAUUUUUGCUCGAAUACAUUAGCAUGGAAUAAUAGAAUAGGACGGCAUGGUUCUAUUUUGUUGGUUUCUAGGAUCACCGUAAUGAUUAAUAGGGAUAGUUGGGGGCAUUAGUAUUCAAUUGUCAGAGGUGAAAUUCUUGGAUUUAUUGAAGACUAACUACUGCGAAAGCAUUUGCCAAGGAUGUUUUCAUUAAUCAAGAACGAAAGUUAGGGGAUCGAAGACGAUCAGAUACCGUCGUAGUCUUGACCAUAAACUAUGCCGACUAGGAAUCAGACGAUGUUAAUUUUUUAAUGACUCGUUUGGCACCUUACG